UACGGGGGGGGCAAGCGUUGUUCGGAAUUACUGGGCGUAAAGGGCUCGUAGGCGGCCAACUAAGUCAGACGUGAAAUCCCUCGGCUUAACCGGGGAACUGCAUCUGAUACUGGAUGGCUUGAGUUCGGGAGAGGGAUGCGGAAUUCCAGGUGUAGCGGUGAAAUGCGCAGAUAUCAGGAGGAACACCAAUUGCGAAGGCAGCUCGCUGGGACGUAACUGACGCUGAGACGCGAAAGCGUGGGGAGCAAACAGG
RNAcentral lists this ribosomal RNA (253 nucleotides) under uncultured bacterium. RNAcentral's name for it is "partial 16S ribosomal RNA". It matches the Rfam family "Bacterial small subunit ribosomal RNA", at positions 524 to 776 of the family's 1533-position model. The record is from RNAcentral.